CACAGGGCAGGACAGUCACCUCUCUCUUUUUGACUACAUGCAUUGAAGAAGCAACAUCUGCUUAGCCAAAGAUGCUCUCUUGGCCAAGAGAGGACAAAGGGACUGUCUCCUUAUGAGAUAGUUUCCAAGUGUGCGUUACUUUUCUAAGAUAAGUCUGCCUUCUGGGAUCCGAUUGUGAACAGAAUGUGAGUAAACUCAUUUUAUACUUUUAUAGAAGACUGUGUUGUCUCUUAUCUUUUAUGAGGGAAUAAGGGAAAAAUACCAGAACAGUUAUUAUAGAGGCUUUAGCGAGCCUGAGCAAAUGCAUCCGCUGUGAGUUUAAAAAAGGGGAAUGUUACUCUGCUAAAUUGUGACCUUGUUAACGCGAGUUGGAAAGGCUAUAAUCAGACAAUAUAUCCUUCUCCUGCAUCCCUGAACAUUCCCACAAUUGCCCUGAGCGAAGCCUCCAGAGGGCCACCAUUGAGGCUCCCAGCCUGGGUGUGCCAAACUGGGCCUUUGACCAGAGUAAAAUAAAGCUUCGUUUCCGCCCUGUGCAAAGCAAAGGAGGUUUAGGAUCAGAGUUUUGCUUCUCCUAGCAAAACACCCCCUGACACGAACACUUUCAGAGAAAGAAAAAGGAUUUGGGGGAUUGUCCUGCAUCACAGGCUGAGCCAGGGACGUUCUUCCUGAGUCCAAACCAAACCUGUCUUUUUAAGGACAGAAGUGGAGAUGUGUUGCCCAUGAUGCAAUUCCUUCAGUUUAUGACAUCAGAGGCAGACUCCCCACCCAAUGCAGUCAUGUUUCAAGGGGAAGGUUCACAGAACAGGCAGCCCCUGCCAGGGAAUCCUGGGUGCGGCUGAUGCUCAGCUUGGCUUGUUUAUGCCAAAUCUGGUCUUAUUGCGGGGUCUUUUCUGCUCUAUGAAGCCCGGAAGGUGGAGAGGGGUGCAAAUGCUGAACUAUCCUCUGCUCAAAGCAACCCAGUGCAUUAUCUCUCUGGGAGUCACCCAGAACCUGCUCUGGCACCCUUAAAAUAAAGGCAACAAAACCUAAGGAAAGGAGGGGGUGAGGAAGGAGUGGGCAUGAGGCCAACUUGGCGGUUCAGGAGUUAAGGAAGGCACAGAGAAGAUGCCCGGUUUCUGAAGGAGGUAAGCCCUGGGUGCUAGGCAGGCCCACAGAUCCUAACUGCAAAUAUUUUAGAGCAAGCUGCAGCUAGCAGGCGGAGAGUCAAAAGCACUCUGCACGUGUUUAGAUGCCCUCUUUGUAUUUGUUGUUGUUGUUUAGUUGUUUAGUCGUGUCCGACUCUUCGUGGCCCCAUGGACCAGAGCAUGCCAGGCCCUCCUGUCUUCCACUGCCUUUCGCAGUUUGGUCAAACUCAUGCUGGUCGCUUCGAGAACACUGUCCCACCAUCUCAUCCUGUGUCGUCCCCUUCUCCUUGUGCCCUCCAUCUUUCCCAGCAUCAGGGUCUUUUCCAGGGAGUCUUCUCUUCUCAUGAGGUGGCCAAAGUCUUGGAGCCUCAGCUUCAGGAUCUGUCCUUCCAGUGAGCACUCAGGGCUGAUUCCCUUCAGAAUGGAGAGGUUUGAUCAUCUUGCAGUCCAUGGGACUCUCAAGAGUCUCCUCCAGCACCAGAAUUCAAAAGCAUCAAUUCUUCGGCGAUCAGCCUUCUUUAUGGUCCAGCUCUCACUUCCAUAUACCACUACUGGGGAAACCAUAGCUUUAGAUGCUCUCUUACUAAUUUAUUUCGCAAAAUUUAUAUGCCGCUUAGUUGUAAAUAAAAAUAAAAUAAAAACCUUAAAGUGGUUUACAAAAAAAAAAAGAUAAAAGAAUAAGACAGGUUUGGUGCGAUGGGUUAGUGCUGUUAACCAGAAGGUUGGUGGUUUAAGCCUAUGAGAAGUAAAACACUGGUUCCUAAGAUUUAAAAUCCCUGCACCUUUUAAAAUAAAUUCUGGGUAAAAUUGGUGAAACAGCAAUACGUUAUUGAGAAUAUACACUUCCAAGUGGGUGACCCGAAAAAGCAGGCACUCCCAAUUUAAUCAAAACAUAAAUAUUUAUUCCCUGUCCCCAAGUGCAAUAAAUAAGAGCAACAUUUAUUCUGAAAAGGCAAUCAAAAAGCAACAUAAAUUAUUCCUCUCAGAGCCCAACCUGGGACAGCUCUGAGCAGGAUUCCUGCAUUUCAGGGGGGUGGACUAGAUGACUCUUGGGGUCCCGUCCAACUCUACAACCCUAUGAAUAAAACUAUCAAUAAGAAAAACCGACAGCUAUAAUCUAAGACUGUCAAAAAGGUGAAAUAUCAGCAGACUAAAAAUAGAUCACAUCUCACAGCACCAACUUUCUAAACUUCUGGGUAGGCUGGUUUAAACAAAAGCGCUUUUCGUAGGGGCUGAAAUGAGUACAGCCAAGGCACCUGCCUGAUUUCAAUAGGCAGGGAGUUCCUGUGGGAAUGUUGUGUAUAGUAGGAGAGGAUAUAUUGAUUAAAUAUUAGUCUUACUCACACUAGUGAGUCAAGUAGCAGAGCACAUUCCCCUUAUAAAGUAGGAAGCUAGCUUGCAGAUUCAUUUGAAUCUCUUUAGUUAAGCAAUCCAGUCUGGCUUGCCCAGAUUGGAUUAUUCCUGGUAAAUCCCCUUUUGAUCCAUCUCAAAAGAAUAAAGACACAGCAGUCUUUCUUUGAAAGUAACAAGAAGUUGACUUCCGGGUUGGCGCCUCUGGCAAUGGCGGAUUUCCUCCGAUCGGGAGGAAUCCGCUCCGUGGAAAACAGGGUCUGAACCGCCACGGUGAGGCGGAGACCCAUCAAAAACCACAGGCGGGAGAAGCCUGUGGACGUGGGAUUCGGCUGGCACCUUUGCGCCCCCCCCUACUCGCGGGGAACCCCGGUUUUGGGGAUCCGGAGCGACGUGGGGUGAGUGGCGCGGUGCUUUGAAUUGACUGCUUCUUUCACGGAGUGAAGCCGCAUUGCUGUUGCCGGAGAGCGCUGACUUUUUCCUGUGGACAAUUGGAUUUUAAACAACUGCCCAUGAGUAGAACGGAAAAUUGGACUAUGAAAUUUCUUAAUUAGGCACCGAAAGCGGGAAGGUCUAAACAGGAAGUCCGCCUUCCGCUUUUGUAGAUAGAUUGAAGCAAAGACACGGCAAGCUAGAGUCUGGAAAGUCGUUUGUAAAGGAUUAAAUUUUCAUCAUUUAAAAUUACUGAACCCCCCUUGGAAGCAGGAGAAGAGGGGGGAACCUUUUUUAGACUCUCUAAACCUGCAGAAGAGAGAGUAAAGAAAGGUAAUUUUCCACCGUCUUGAACCUGGGAACGGGGUGUCAGGACAGACGUUUUGGGGACGUUCAUUGACUAUGGACAAACGUUUUUGACAGAUAGUCAAAAGAAGAGAAACAUAUUGAUUCCAUUGUUCCCUUUCGCAUUUAAAAGGAACAAAAUAUCGACAAAAUAUCCGAAAAAGGAAAACUUUGUUGCUAGAUCUGCUUUUUUUUUUUAAAAAAAAGAUGGAUACAAAUAGAAAUUGUUUCCCCUAGAGGGAGCUUGUGAAACUGUUAUUAAAGUCGAACUGGGAAGCUUUGCAGCUGUAGAGAUUAAAGAUCGUGGGACCAGACUUCGACCUUGAACAAGAAUGUGCUCAGAGGAGGUUUUGGUGCUUGCUCUUUGCAAGACAAGUGCUUUAUUGGAACAGUUACAUGAGAAGAUGGAUUUGAUGACUGUUGCGAUCGGAAAUUUUGGACAGGCAGUGGGUAUCUAUAUAGAACCCACUCAGGAAUUAAUCCAGGAAUGUGCUUUGACAGAUCAGAUGAGGGAGGAGGUUGUUGUGGAACCUCGGGUGGCAGAGAUGGAGGGAGCUGUGGCCCAGCAGGAACAUGAGUUGUUGGAUUUGACGAAUGAACCUGGAAAAAAUCAGAUUUGGAGAGAUGGAGUUUUGUUUGGCUUGGAGAUGGGGGUCUGGAUGGAUCCCCCUAUGCAGGGAUGUUUUGACCUUUCAAGUUUGGCUUUGGGCCGGGGGGAGUUCGGAGUUGUGGGGGCCCUUAACUUUGGAGGGACUUUGAAACAUGCCUUUAAAUAUCACAUGGAUUUCAGUGUUGACUAUGGAAAAGGGGCUGACUUGUCGAGAAGGGACAAAAAUAUUCAUAGAAUCAUAGAAUCAUAGAAUCAUAGAGUUGGAAGAGACCACAAGGGCCAUCGAGUCCAACCCCCUGCCAAGCAGGAAACACCAUCAGAGCACUCCUGACAUAUGGUUGUCAAGCCUCUGCUUAAAGACCUCCAAAGAAGGAGACUCCACCACACUCCUUGGCAGCAAAUUCCACUGUCAAACAGCUCUUACUGUCAGGAAGUUCUUCCUAAUGUUUAGGUGGAAUCUUCUUUCUUGUAGUUUGGAUCCAUUGCUCCGUGUCCGCUUCUCUGGAGCAGCAGAAAACAACCUUUCUCCCUCCUCUAUGUGACAUCCUUUUAUAUAUUUGAACAUGGCUAUCAUAUCACCCCUUAACCUCCUCUUCUCCAGGCUAAACAUGCCCAGCUCUCUUAGCCGUUCCUCAUAAGGCAUCGUUUCCAGGCCUUUGACCAUUUUGGUUGCCCUCCUCUGGACACGUUCCAGUUUGUCAAUGUCCUUCUUGAACUGUGGUGCCCAGAACUGGACACAGUACUCCAGGUGAGGUCUGACCAGAGCAGAAUACAGUGGCACUAUUACUUCCCUUGAUCUAGAUGCUAUACUCCUAUUGAUGCAGCCCAGAAUUGCAUUGGCUUUUUAGCUGCCGCGUCACACUGUUGGCUCAUGUCAAGUUUGUGGUCAACCAAGACUCCUAGAUCCUUUUCACAUGUACUGCUCUCAAGCCAGGUGUCCCCAUCUUGUAUUUGUGCCUCUCAUUUUUUUGCCCAAGUGCAAUACUUUACAUUUCUCCCUGUUAAAAUUCAUCUUGUUUGUUUUGGCCCAGUUCUCUAAUCUGUCAAGGUCGUUUUGAAGUGUGAUCCUGUCCUCUGGGGUGUUAGCCACCCCUCCCAAUUUGGUGUCAUCUGCAAAUUUGAUCAGGAUGCCCUUGAGUCCAUCAUCCAAGUCGUUGAUAAAGAUGUUGAAUAAGACCGGACCCAAGACAGAACCCUGUGGCACCCCACUAGUCACUCUUCUCCAGGAUGAAGAGGAACCAUUGAUGAGCACCCUUUGGGUUCGGUCAGUCAGCCAGUUACAAAUCCACUGAGUGGUAGCAUAGUCAAGACCGCAUUUUACCAGCUUCUUUACAAGAAUAUCAUGAGGCACCUUGUCAAAUGCCUUGCUGAAAUCAAGGUAGGCUACAUCCACUGCGUUCCCUUCAUCUACCAGGCUUGUAAUUCUGUCAAAAACGAGAUCAGGUUAGUCUGACAUGACUUAUUUUUCAGAAAUCCAUGCUGACUAUUGGUGAUCACAGCAUUCCUUUCUAGGUGCUCACAGACUGUUUGCUUAAUGAUCUGCUCCAGAAUCUUCCCUGGUAUUGAUGUCAGACUGACUGGGCGGUAAUUAUUUGGGUCCUCUCUUUUCCCCUUUUUGAAAAUAGGGACAACAUUUGCCCUCCUCCAGUCUGCCGGGACUUCGCCUGUUCUCCAGGAAUUCUCAAAGAUGACUGCCAGUGGUUCUGAGAUCACAUCUGCCAGUUCUUUUAAUACUCUUGGAUGCAGUUCAUCUGGCCCUGGAGACUUGAAUACAUCUAAACUAGCCAAGUAUUCUUGUACUAUCUCCUUAGUUAUUCUGGGCUGUGUUUCCUUUGCUGAAUCAUUUGCUCCAAAUUCUUCAGGUCGGGCAUUGUUUUCUUUAUCGGAGAAGACUGAGGCAAAGAAGGCAUUGAGGAGUUCAGCUCUUUCUGUGUCCCCUGUUUGCAUUUCACCAUCUUCUCCUCUGAGUGACCCCACUGUUUCUUUGUUCUUCCUUUUGCUACGGACAUACCCAUAAAAGCCUUUUUUGUUGCUUUUAACCUCUCUAGCAAGCCUGAGUUCAUUCUGUGCUUUAGCUUUUCUGACUUUGUGUCUACACGUGCUGGCUAUUUGUUUGAAUUCCUCUUUGGUGGUUUCCCCCUUUUCCAUUUUUGUACACAUCCUUUUUAAUCUUAACUCAGUUAAAAGUUCUUUAGAUAGCCACCCUGGCUUCUUUAGGCACCUUCCAUGUUUCUGUCUCAUUGGUAUUGCCUGAUGUUGUGCUUUUAGUAUCUCCCUCUUAACAAACUCCCAGCCAUCAUGAACUCCCUUUCCUUUUAGUAUUACUGUCCAUGGGAUCUCACCCAGCACUUCCCUAAGUUUUAUGAAGUCAGCUUUCUUAAAGUCAAGAAAUUGAGUCCUAGUAUGCUUGGCUGCUCCUUUCCGCUGUAUAGUAAACUUCAGAAGAGCAUGAUCACUCGCGCCUAAUGAUCCUUCCACUUCUACCCCACUAACCAGGUCAUCAACAUUGGUUAGGACCAGAUCUAAAAUGGCUGUUCCUCUUGUUGCUUCUCCCACUUUCUGGACAAUGAAGUUGUCUGCAAGGCCAGUGAGGAAUCUGUUUGACCUUAUGCUCUUGGCUGAGUUUGACAUCCAACAAAUAUCCGGGUAAUUGAAGUCCCCCAUUACUACUAUCUCCUUCCUUUUGCAUGCUUGGCCAUCUGUUCCAGGAAGGCAUCAUCUAUGUCCUCUGUUUUGCUUGGGGAUCUAUAGUAAACUCCCACAAUGAGGUCACUGUUAUUCUUCUCUCCUUAAUUUUGACCCAAAUGCUCUCACUUUGGCUUUGAGGUUCUAAAUCUUGGAUCUCUUCACAGGUAUACACAUCCCUGACAUAUAACGCCACUCCUCCUCCUUUCUUGUCUGGUCUGUUUCUCUGAAAUAGAUUGUAUCCCCCAUUAUUACAUUCCAAUCGUGGGACUUAUCCCACCAGGUUUCAGUGAUGCCUAUUAUGUCAUAUUUAGUUUGCUGUACCAAGAGCUCAAGCUCAUCUUGUUUAUUUCCCAUGCUUUGCGCAUUAGUGUACAGACAUUGAAGUCCAUUAAUCAUUCCCCCGUGACUCUUAUUUAAGGAUUUUUUCCUCCCACUACUAGGUCUGCGUGCUGUUUGCUCCAUUUGGUCUAUGACAUUUGGAUGAUCAUCUUCAUCAAUUGAUAGACUCCUACCUUCAGGAGCACUGUCUCCCUCCCCCACAUUAGUCAGUUUAAAGCCCUCCUGAUGAGGUUUCUGAGAUUUUGGCAAAAACAUUCCUCCCAACCGUUGUGAGGUGCAGCCCAUCGCUUGCCAGAAGUCCAUCUUCAAGAAACUGCAGUCCGUGAUCUAAGAAUCCAAACCGUUCCUGUUUACACCAUUUGCGAAGCCAGCUGUUCACUUCCACUAUUUUCCCCUCUCUCCCUGGGCCACGUUGUUCAACUGGGAGGACAGAUGAGAUGACAAUUUGUGCAUUUAAUUGCUUCAAUUUCCUGCCCAGAGCCUCGUAGUCUCUUUUGAUCUUCUGGAGGCUAUUGCUUGCAGUGUCAUUGGUUCCCACAUGAACCAAGAGGAAGGGGUAUUUGUCAGUGGGUUUUAUGAUUCCUUGCAGUCGUUCAGUUACAUCUUGGAUCUUAGCCCCGGGAGACAGCACACUUCCCGAGACAUCUUGUCAGGCCCACAGAUCACUGCUUCUGUUCCCCUCAGUAGGGAAUCCCCUAUCACCACUACACGCCUCCUCUUAGGUUUGGUUGGGGUUCUUCCGUGAGCUGUCCGCUCCAAGGUCGCCUGCACAUUCCCUGAGGACUGACUUUGCUGCUCGUCUUCAUAUACCUGAUCGACUGUAAUGAGGAGAGAUCCUCAAAUGGAGUCUGCUCUUCGUCUUCCAUGCUAGGGAGAGGACCUCAAAGCGAUUGUGUAUUUCUAAACAAUCAGAGCGAACCCUGGGCCUCCUACUUCUUUGAGUCACGUUUCUCCAUAUAUCUGGCUCCUGUGUUGGUGAACUAGUGUCCUUCUCAGUGGAGUCCCCUGUCUCCUCCUUGGUGGAGACGGUGUGCUCUGUUGCUUCCAAGAAGAGCUCCAGCUCUCUAAUUCUUUGGAGCGUAGCUACACGUUCCUCCAGUUGCUGGACUUUGUCUUUUAAGAGGGCAAUCAACAUGCAAUUGCUGCAGGUAAAGCUGCCUGCAACCUUUGGCAAGAUGGCAAACAUUGCGCAGGAACUACAGGCGACUGCAGCUGUUCCCUCCCCUCCAUCUUGAGAACGUGUUGUUGGGGGUGGCUACAGCGGUCCUCCAUCAUAAAAAGUGUGAAGACAGGACAAAUAACUCCCCCCACAAAAAAACCUAGGUCUCCCCCAACAAACGUUUGAGACUAGCUCCCCUAAAUCUAAAAGAUGGAUCAAACCCAUCUGUCAAGUUGGAGUCUUCCUGAGUGAAAGGAGCAGAAGACAAAGUAAAGUACAGGUACAAACAUGAAGAAGACCUGCGGAAGGGACAUGGAAAAGACUUAAGAGCCUCGGAUAGAAGGUCACCAGGUUGAUGGACUAGAUGGAUGGGAUAGAAAGGACUGACAAAACCCGAAACCAGGAAGAAGAGAUGAUGGAUGAAGAUUGGAAGAAAGUUUUAAAAAUUUAUUUAGAAAAGUAUCGUAAAAUUAAUGAGUAUUAGAAAAAUGUUGGAAUGAAAUUAUUUGGCUUUAGCAGAAAUGUUAAAAAGAAUUAUGUAAGAAUAUGUUACGGUUAAAAGAAUUUGGUAUAAAUAAGAUUUAAGUUUUAAGUUUUAGGGUUUUUUAUGGUAAGAUAAGGUUAAAAUAGAUUAAGGUAAUUUAAUGACAGAAUAUUGUGAAAGAUGGAAAGGAUUUGCUGAGAUAAUUAAUAACUAGAAUACAAAAAGGGAGGUGUGAGGAGGUCGAUGAAAUAAGUUAAUGAAAGUUAAGGAUUUGGGAAUAUUGGAUUUGUUUUUAAAUUUUUUUGUUUAUUUUUGCUUUUUGCUUUUGAUGUAUUGUGUGUUUUGUUUUUUCUUUUUGACUUUGGUUUUUAUUGAUUUGUAUUGUUUAAUUGUUACUUUUAUCUACCUUUUUCUUUCUUUCUCUUGUUUUUUCCUUCUUUUUUCUUUGUAACUUUAAAAUUCUCAAUAAAUAUCUUUUUUUUUAAAAAAAAAAUGAAAGUAACCAGAAGUUUACUUACAAUUAGUUCACAGUAUGAUCCCUGAAGGCAGGCUCUGGCUUAUACAGUGGACGCUUGGGUUGCGAACGUGAUCCGUGCAGGCUGCACUUUCACAACCUGCAGCAUUCACAACCUGCAGCGGUGUGUCUGUGCAUGUGCGGGUUGCAAUUUGGUGCUUCUGCGCUUGUGCAAAGCACGAUUUAGCGCUUCUGAGCAUGCACAACUGCCAAAAUCCAGAAGUAACCUGUUCUGGUACUUCCGGGUUUCGGUGGGUCCGUAACCAAAAAAAACACAACCUGAAGUGUCUGUAACCCGAGGUAUGACUGUACAGUGGUACCUCGGGUUACAGACGCUUCAGGUUACAGGUGCUUCUGGUUACAGAUUCCACUAACCCAGAAAUAGUACCUCAGGUUAAGAACUUUGCUUCAGGGUGUGAACAGAAAUCGUGCGGCGGCGGCAGCGGGAGGCCCCAUUAGCUAAAGUGGUACCUCAGGUUAAGAACAGUUUCAGGUUAAGAACGGACCUCCAGAACGAAUUAAGUUCUUAACCCGAGGUACCACUAUAGUUACAGAGAUAGCUGUGGAUUAAUCCCAUAUGGGGAUUCAUCCCAUGUCUGCUGGAAGAAGAGUAAAAGAGAGAAAUAUGGCUGCACGGCUGGACCUUUUGUGGGGUCUCCCGGGGUCACACCCACCUACCUGGUCACAUGCUGAGGAAGGAUGCUCCAGACCAGGUGUAACAGAAAGUUAUACUGGCUGGAGUAACAUCCCCCUGUCUGCGUCGACUCUAGAGAAACAAGGAAUGUGCCACACUUUUUAACAACAAAAAAGGGGUGCCUGUACUGCGGGCCCUUGGGUACUUCUUGCAAUGCCCGUUAGACGAAUUUAUAAAAUCCCUGUUUACGAAUGGAACAUAUUUGAAUAGGGUGGAAAGGGUGAAAUGGCUGCUGGGCGACACCGAUGACUUUGUUACUUAUAAAGUAGCACUCUAUGCGCUAGCAGCUAAGAAGAUCAGGAGGAAGGAACUAGACAAAAUAGCGGUCAACUGCAAAGGGGAUUCUGAUAUUUAAUUUGGCACAUCUUACCUGAGAAUCUUCUGCUAUUCUAUUCUAUUUAAUGCAACAAAUAAUUUUAGUAGCCAUGACCGUGGUUUUGUUGCAUGUCUGUGCCCGAUGAUUUUUAUGGUUAUGGUUAUGGUUAUUUUUUUUUCUUUUUUCUUUUUGUCUUCCUUCUCAAUGAUGCCAUGGCCUAUGGCUAGUGCAAUAAAAAAGUUUAAUUGGAAUUGGAGUACCCCUUGGAAAAAACAACAAUCCCUGCCUGCAACAGUGCCCAUUCCUCUGAUCGAAGCAGUCACCUGGGCACAUCCUCACAGGCUUUUCACUCCAGCCUCCUCCCUGAUCUCUCCACCUCCAGGGACGCCCCGACACCUUGGGAGAAGCUGCCCCCUGCCGCCUUCCCUGCCAUGGACCUAUUUGCCCGCUUUGAGGAGUUCCUGGACAUCGUGGUGUGCUUGGGCUUCCUCUACUUCCUCUCCUACAGCUCCCUCUUCCUCUUCUACUUCCUCCUCCUCGUGCCUUUGGCCUUCAUCUUUGAGGGAGAGGAGACAUUGAGAGCGGCAACCUCCUUCCUGCAAUCUCCAGCUCAAUAAAGGGUGAAUUUGAAUACAUGGCGCUUUGGGAAAUGUGAGUUGCCGAGUCUGUAGUGCUGUCUGUCUAAAGCCGUCCAGCGGAGGCUGCUCCAUGAGGGUGAAUGGGGAAGGGUCUGGGGGCUGGCAGGUUAAGUUUGGUGGGCCAGGGAAAUAGCCUGGUCCCAUCUAUCUUAUUGCUUUAUUAUUCAUUUCAUUAAAAAAAAUGCUUGAUUGCAAAUAUAUAUACAACUAAAAGUUUUCUCCACCAGUGAGCGCCAACAUUAUUACAAGUAUAAAAGCUAAAGUUAAAGGGACCCCUGACCAUUAGGUCCAGUCGUGGCCGACUCUGGGGUUGCGGCGCUCAUCUCGCUUUAUUGGCCAAGGGAGCUGGCGUACAGCUUCCGGGUCAUGUGGCCAGCAUGACUAAGCCACUUCUGGCGAACCAGAGCAGUGCACGGAAACGCCGUUUACCUUCCCGCCAGAGCUGUACCUAUUUAUCUACCUGCACUGGCGUGCUUUCGAACUGCUAGGUUGGCAGGAGCAGGGACCGAGCAACAGGAGCUCACCCCGUCGCGGGGAUUCGAACAGCCGACCUUCCGAUCGGCAAGUCCUAGGCUCUGUGGUUUAGACCACAGUGCCACCCAUGCCCCCUUUACAGGCAUAGUCUAUGCUUUAAAGCCCUGUGUGCAAGUGUACCUAUUUAUCUACUUGCACUUUGAGGUACUUUCGAACUGCUAGGUUGGCAGGAGAAGGGACCGAGCAACAGGAGCUCACCCCAUCGCGGGGACCUUUUGAUCGGCAAGCCCUAGGCUCAGUGGUUUAACCCACAUCACCACCCGCGUCCCUAAUUACAAGUAUACAUUCUAUAAAAUCUUAAAUGAACCAGGCGUUUGCUUAUACCGGUGCGACUGAGCGACUGUGUGCCUCAAUAUUUGUAUAAGAAACGAAAUUGUGCCACGCAGCCAAAUAGCACUCAUUUGAACUCUUCACUUCAGAUACUUUUAGUUUAUGAGAGACCUUUUCAAGGAGCGAAAUCUGGCAAACGCUGAAGUACAAGCAGUCCAGAUUACUGAGAUUGAAAGUUUUCCAGGAUUUGGUAAUGGAGCCCUCUUCAGAGGCGAGAGAGAAGUUCUUCAUUUUUCAGGUCCUUAGGAAUAUAUAAGCAGAACCUGCUGGAGCAAGCCAAGGACCCUUCUAGGCCAGCAUCCUGUUUUCACAGUGGCCAAAUACCCCUAAGAACCCAGGAAUCCAGAUAGACUGAUUUGGACCUGGAGGUUCCAUUAAAAGAGCCUGGCUGUUGGGUCAGGCCAAGCUCCCAUCUAAGUCCAGCAUCCUCUUCUCACAGCAGCCGCCCAGGUGCCUGUGGGAAACAGGUAAGCAGGGUCCAAAAACAAGAGGCUUCUUCUCUCCUGUGGUUUCCAGCAAUUGGUAUCUGGAAGCAUUUGCUGCUGUGGAGGCAGAAGAUAGGCCUCUUGGCUAGCAGACAUCAAUAGACUUCUCCUCCAUGAAUUUGUCCAAGAUUCUUUUAAAGCCAUCUAUGUUCGUAGCCAUCAUUGGCUCCUGUGUCUGUGUUACUGAAGGGGAAGGAAAAGAAGCUCUUCGGCCCCUUAGUGCUUUAUUAUUAUUACAAAACAAUUUCAACAUAACAAAAUUUCAAAACAUAUCAUCUUCAUUAUUUCCCACCUCCCCAACGAACCCUCGCCUCACAAGACUUCUCUCAGCUCCUCUCUCUGAUUUCUCAACACAUUUUGUUCUCUGCAUACUGUAAAAUUGUAUAAAUCCUUAUAUUAUCUGUCUACUAUAUUAGGUAAAGGUAAAGGGACCCCUGACCAUUAGGUCCAGUCGUGGCCGACUCUGGGGUUGCGGCGCUCAUCUCGCUUUAUUGGCUGAGGGAGCCGGCGUACAGCUUCCGGUUCAUGUGGCCAGCAUGACUAAGCUGCUUCUGGUGAACCGGAGCAGUGCACGGAAACACCGUUUACCUUCCUGACAGAGCAGUACCUAUUUAUCUACUUGCACUUUUUUCGAACUGCUAGGUUGGCAGGAGCUGGGACCAAGCAAACGGGAGCUCACCCCGUCGCGGGGAUUUGAACCGCCAACCUUCUGAUCGGCAAGUCCUAGGCUCUGUGGUUUAGACCACAGCGCCACCAAAAGGUGGGGGGUAUGAAUAUAUAUAUAAUAAGAGGAGAAGUGUCUGUGGGAUUUGUGAGCUGCUUGCGAAGGAUCCAUGGGCAGGUUUUUUAAAAUGAGCAAUGUAUCUGCUGAUCCAAAAUGCAAACAGGCAGAAUGUGUGGUCCCUGUGCAAAGGAGUGGGAGACCAGCAGACAACCCACUUUCCAUAUGUAAGAGGGGCAUUUGCUAGUUUCCCAUUCCAAUGCACCAAACGGAUUUGGAAAAUGUGGGAUUUCAGGACCUUUCGCCUAGUGAUACAGAUGAAACACCCCUGGAAAAUAGCCUGUGUUUGCUUGAACCUUGCAAAACUGGUUUCUCCCAAGUCUGAUCAUGGGGGGAAGAAAAUGUACCUGGUGCCCAAGACAGAGUGAAUCCACUUUUACAGAAGCUUGACAGCUCUAAUUAAGGAUUUGUGGGGUUUGGGGUUUUUUUGCUCUUUGUGCUUUCCCCCCUUAUGGACACAAGAUGGCAACAGAGCUGCAUGCGUCUUCCACAUUUCAGCCCAGUUCAACGUAUCCUUUUAACCAUCUGAAGGUGGCACUAGACACAUUGCUGGUGUUUUGCAGAAGGAAUUGAACUGUAUAUAUGAACUUCAGAUCUGUGCAAUUAAAGUGGAUUCAAGCAAAUCCACUUUUUAUUUACCUGCUUCGAAAAAGCAGACUUGUAGUUUGGAAAGUGAUAGAUCAAUGUAUUGAUGUCACGGACUGGUUAGACACAGGGGGUGGGCGUGGGCAUAGACACCAGCUAGGGAACCCCCAAGGGAAGAAGGCUCAGAGCCAGGGGACUGGUGGUGGGAUGACAAUGGUCAGAGGGAGAAGAGGGAGCAGAAUGGGAAGUGGAGGUGUCGGAAGCUGAAGAGGCAACAAGGUUUAGUGAGCAGGAAGAGGCUGUGGCAGAGAGCAGUCCAGAACCAGGGGCAGAAGCAGAGGCUAAAGAGGAGGGGGGCCAAGACGCAAAGUGGAGGCAGGCUGCUGAGGGUUGCAAUAUGUCCUCUUUUUCCAGGACUCGUCCUCUUUUAGAGGAUUAAAAUUUCUCUCCGGGCAGAUUUAUAAAAUUUGGCAAAAUGUCCAGGUUGUUUUGUUUUGUUUUGUUUUGUUUACAGUAACCCAAGAAAAAUUGUCUAGUGCAUUAGACUCAGAUCUAAGGCACCCGGCUAAGCUAGUCUGCAGCAGAGAAUCACAACAGAGCAACAUCUUAAAGCAUCUCCAUCCUGUAAAAAUCCCUUCUCUUGUGGCUGAAGUCAAAGGAUGCUGGCUCAGUUACAAGAUCUUCGAGGAGGAGUCUGGGAGGGCAAGAGUUAACACCACCCUGCCCUUAAAGAGAGCCCAUAUGUACAUGUUAAACAGUUUAAUAAAUUGUUCUGUGCACACUUAUUUUCACCAAGGUACUUUCAUGUGGCAAGUGAAGGAGCAAUAUGUAUUAUUAUUAUUAUUUUGUUGUUGAAAGUUAAGAACAUUGCUACCAGCAAUACAUCACAGCUUCUAUAGCCUACAUAUAGCAGGGG
Molecule: long non-coding RNA, 14324 nt
Filed under: Podarcis lilfordi (Lilford's wall lizard)
Lineage: Eukaryota; Metazoa; Chordata; Lepidosauria; Squamata; Lacertidae
Source: RNAcentral